UUUUUGGCUAAAUAUCAUGAGAUUCUUAACUACCAAAAAUAUGUAUAUAGUAUAUAAGAGUUGAUGAUCGUAUUGCUCGGGACCAUUAAGGAUUUUAUCAGUAAUAUUCAAACUUGACAUUUAUCAAUUACUAGAGUUACCCUCCGUAUAUAUAUGACUAAAUUAGAGAGAGAGAGAGAGAGAGAGAGAAAAAAAAAAUCAAAUAUGACACCAAAAUAGUAAAUUUUAAAAAAUUUAAUUUUAUACAACAUUUAUCUUUGUACUACAAAAAGAGUAGUACAUUAAUAAAAUAAAAACUUUAAAAUUUCAUAAAAUUAAUUUUAGAAAAUCAAAAUUUGCAAAUGCAUGGGCUAAGUAAUCACUAAUCACAAUUGCUAUUGUGGUAAAGUUGUAGUUAUAGAUAUAGAUAUUGAUACAUGCAACAUUAUUAUUUUUUUAUAUAUUAUCUAUUUUCUUAUUUAUUUUAAUUUUUUUCAAUAAUAUUUAUUUAAUUUAUAAAAUAAUUAAGGUGUAUCUUUUCGUAAAAAUGACUAAUUCAAUUUUCGUCGAUUGUGAUUGAUUGUUAUUUUUUGUGAAUUUUUAAUGAAUAAAUUUCUAUAAUAUCUACUUUCUUAUUUAUUAUUAACUAAUUUCUAUUCUUAUUUUUAUAAUUAAUUAUAUCCAAUCAUGAAAAUUUAUAUAUUACUUCGUUAGAAGGAAUCUAAAUAUGAGUACAAUUGUAAAUGCUAUUUAACAACACAUUCUAACUAAAAAUGCGAAACUGAAAAUAUUGCCAAAAACAUGAGGAAAAAUUAAUUUUUAAAUAUUGCCAAAAACAUGAGGAAAAACUAAUUUUUACAUGACAACAUAUUCUAACUGAAAAUGUGCAAAUGAAAAUAUAACAAAAAAACAUACAAUUGUAAAUAUGACAACAUAUUCUAACUAAAAAUGUGAAACUAAAAUAGGAAAAACUAUUUUCGUUAGAAUAUAUGACAACAUGACAUAUUUAAUUAAAAAUAUAGUAAAAAAGAACAAGAUAUUUAAAUUUCUAUAUAUCUAAUUUCAAACCUAUCAUCAACAAAUUUCUAUAUCUAAUUUCUUAUACAUUAAUUAUAUCCCAAUCAUAUAUAUCUAAAANNNNNNNNNNNNNNNNNNNNNNNNNNNNNNNNNNNNNNNNNNNNNNNNNNNNNNNNNNNNNNNNNNNNNNNNNNNNNNNNNNNNNNNNNNNNNNNNNNNNNNNNNNNNNNNNNNNNNNNNNNNNNNNNNNNNNNNNNNNNNNNNNNNNNNNNNNNNNNNNNNNNNNNNNNNNNNNNNNNNNNNNNNNNNNNNNNNNAGUAAAAGACGAAAUAUAUCCAUCCUAAUGCUAUUAUGUAUAAAAAAGAAAACCUAAGAAACCCUUGAAAGUACAAAGAAACAGACUAAGGGCCGAGCCUCAUUAAAACCCUUUUACGGAAAACCCGGUAGGAAAAACCGUAGAAGGAAAAAAGAGUACUCGUCUAAAACGAAACAAAAAGGAAAGGAAAGAAGAGCGGGAAGGUCAGUUUUCAAGAACUCCGGCCUAACCAUCGUCCCAAACCGACCCGGCUCAAUGUAUAAGAAUUAGAUAUAGAAAUUUGUUGAUGAUAGGUUUGAAAUUAGAUAUAUAGAAAUUUAAAUAUCUUGUUCUUUUUUUGCUAUAUUUUUAAUUAAAAUAAAAUAGUUUUUCCUGUUUUAGUUUCACAUUUUUAGUUAGAAUAUGUUGUCAUAUUUACAAUUGUAUGUUUUUUUGUUAUAUUUUCAUUUGCACAUUUUCAGUUAGAAUAUGUUGUCAUGUAAAAAUUAGUUUUUCCUCAUGUUUUUGGCAAUAUUUAAAAAUUAAUUUUUCCUCAUGUUUUUGGCAAUAUUUUCAGUUUCGCAUUUUUAGUUAGAAUGUGUUGUUAAAUAGCAUUUACAAUUGUACUCAUAUUUAGAUUCCUUCUAACGAAGUAAUAUAUAAAUUUUCAUGAUUGGGAUAUAAUUAAUGUAUAAGAAAUUAGAUAUAGAAAUUUGUUGAUGAUAGGUUUGAAAUUAGAUACUAUAUAGAAAUUUAUUGAUUAAAAAUUUAGAAAAAAUAAGAAUGAAUGAGAAUGGAGGAAAAUUAGAAUAGAGUGAUUCUAUUACGCCACGUAGAAUAGAGUGAUCAACAUCACAAUUAUUAACAAAUUAUAGAUAGACUCAAAUUCUUAGAUAAAUCCUAUCAAAGGUAGAAUUCUUUGUCAAAUUCACAAUCUUAUAUUUCAUCUAUAAAAAGGAUCGGUUCUGCUUUCUUUCUCCUGUUCUGCUUUCUUUCUCCACUGCUCUACCGGUUGGUAAGUUGAAGUUUCUGCUCUCUUUCUAUGUAGAGGUAUUUAUUUAGCCCGUCGAAAUUCGUUGAUGUAUUUAUAAAGUGCGUAGAAUUGUGUGAAUCUGGUUUUAAUGGAAACAAGUAUAUUUUGUUGAUUUCUGGAGGCAGCAAAAUCUAUUGUUCUUACUAAUAUAGAUUGAUAAAUUGGGCAAGGAAGCACUUGAAAUGAUCGUGAUUGAUGAAUGGGUAAGUCUUAUCACAAUUUUAUUUAAUAAAUAGUUUUGUAAAGAUCAAUAAGUGUUGUAAUAUUAUAAUAAUUGGCAUCUGUAGAUCGAGAUUAGUCGUUUUUUAAAUUAGUGUGAAUGACUCGGAAAGUGGAGUCUUCUGUUUGUACCAGUGUGUCUCAAUACAUAUGCCACCAUAAAAGAAUAUUCCACUUUUUCAGGCAAAUGCUUCUGGUUCGGAUGCAGAAGAAACCAAAGAAUUUGCAGAGUGGAUACUUAAAAUAGGUGAUGGUACAGCCGGACAUAGUCUUGGUGAUGGAGAAUCUGUUGUGGCAUUAUCAGAAGAUAUCCUUAUACGCGAUGCAACAAAUCCUAUUGCAGCUAUAAUGGAAAACACAUAUAAUGACGUCAUGAAUAAUGCAUUUGAUCCAGAAAUGUUUAAGAAUAGAGCUAUCUUGGCCCCCACCAAUGAGAUGGUUGAUACGAUCAAUGAUUACGUCAUGUCUCUGAUGUCUACCAAGGAUAGGGUUUACCUAAGUUCAGACAGUAUUUGCAAAGAAGAUGGACAAGUGGAACUUGAUGAAUAGGUAUUCUCGGUUGAAUAUCUCAAUACAAUCAAAUGUUCAGGAUUACCGAGUCAUGAAAUUAAAUUGAAAGAAGGAUGCAUAAUAAUGCUUCUCAGAAAUAUUGAUCCAUCUAAUGAGCUUUGCUCUCAGAAAUAUUGAUCCAUCUAAUGAGCUUUGCAAUGGCACCAGACUGAUAGUAACUCAACUUGGGGAACGCGUAAUUGAAGGCAAACUCAUUUCAGGAAAAAAUACGGGCAAGAAGUUUCCCAUAGCUAGAAUGAUUAUGAGUCCAUCAGAUUUCGCUAAAUUUCCAAUUCGGUUUCAGAGAAGGCAAUUUCCUGUGAGUGUUUGUUUUGCUAUGACAAUAAAUAAAAGCCAGGGACAAUCUCUUUCAAAUGUAGGAUUAUACCUACCGAAACCAGUUUUUAGUCAUGGACAACUCUACGUGGCAAUCUCAAGAGUCACUAGAAAAAGAGGUUUAAAGAUUUUAGUAUGUGAUGAGAGUGGUCAUACGCAAGACACAACAACUAAUGUUGUGUAUGAUGAAAUUUUCGAUAGAUUAUGAGGUAAUUGCAAAUUUAAUAUUUUAUUCAAACUUUACAAAUUUUACGUCAUUAACGGUAUUAUUUAAAAUAUUUUUUUCUUAUAUUUUGCUAGGUUGAUUUGAUAUCUGCGUGCUGCUUGUGAUUGGAGGGAAGAAAGGUACAAUAAAUCACAUCAUAUUUUUUCAUGUUCAUAGAUAAAAUAUGUUAUAUAAGGAUGGUUGAGCCGGGUCGGUUUGGGGACGAUGGUUAGGCCGGAGUUCUUGAAACUGACCUUCCCGCUCUUCUUUCCUUUCCUUUUUGUUUUCGUUUUAGACGAGUACUCUUUUUUCCUUCUACGGUUUUUCCUACCGGGUUUUCCGUAAAAGGGUUUUAAUGAGGCUCGGCCCUUAGUCUGUUUCUUUUGUACUUUCAAGGGUUUCUUAGGUUUUUCUUUUCUUUUAUACAUAAUAGCAUUAGGAUGGAUAUAUUUCGUCUUUUACUGUAUCAUGUUUCGGCUUCAUACUUUGGUAUUUGCUUCUUCUUUUUUUGUUUUUUUUUGGAGGAGGAGACAGAAGUUGAUUUUUAAGCAUCGAAAAAUUCUAAAAUCAUCAUAAUCAGAUUGGAUUGGUGGAAGUGUCUAAAAUUAGUUUCCGAGUUCAGAGAAUUGUUUGACUAAAAAUAUAUUUAGUUAACAUCUUUUACUUUAAAACAAACUUAUUUAAUGCUUUAUUUUAGUGAAAAAAAUCAUCAAAUAAAAAAUGUAAUAAAUAAUUACAAAUAUUUAUAUAUUUUCAUUUAUUCCCGUCGAUUUUCGACGGGUUACCGACUAGUUUUAUUAAAACCGAUGGCACAUAAAAAAUGGGUAUUGAUUAUAUUUCAUAAAAAUGAAUAAUGAAAUUGUAGGAAAAAGAGAUAGAGAGAGAUAGAGAGAGUGAUAAAAGGAUCACACAACUAAUCCUUCAAUUUUAUUUUAUUUACAAAAUUUCCAUUAAUUUGAUUUGAAAUUAAUUUCAAAUUGAAUGUUGACCUUUUAAUAUACUAGUAUCGAUAUUACAAUUUUUUCAAAUUAUUUCAAUUUUAUGGAAUUUAACUCUAAUGAUUGACAUGGCUAGUGACGGUUCUAGACUUUUUAGUCAAUAAGGUCCAACUUACUAUAAAUUUAUAAUUUCAUAACAUGAUUUUUAAAUUAAUCAUAGUUGUAUAAUUUUAUAGAAAUAACAUAUUGAAAAAUUAGUUAAGUACCUCCUAGUAUUUUUCUCAUUUUUUGGGUUGGACAAGGUUCAUUAUUGUUGAAUAUAACUUUGUUAAAUUUGAACUUCAAUUCCUUAGAUGCAAUGAUACAAAAUUAAAAUACAUUUUUAAUUUAUAACGCAUUACAAAACAAGCAUCAAAUGUAAAAUGUGAUAGUAAUAACAUAAUACUUGUACACAAAUCUUAAAUGAGAACAAUUAAUUAUUAAAAUAAUAUUAGAUUUCGCUAUGAUAUUUUGCAUCAUUAUCAUUUUACUAUGAAAUUUUAUACCAAUAAUGAUCAAAGUAAUACCAACUUAACCUUAUAUAUACCAGGCAAAGAAUAACAUUACAAUACUUCAGAAAAUAUAUACAUUUUUUAAUUAUUAAAUCUAAAAUACAGAUAGAUACCUAAAUAUUUUGCAAAUUCCAGUAGAGCCCCAUUGCCCCCACAGCCCACUAGCCACAAUCUAGGUCCGGCCAUGGACAUGGCACACUGGAAAGUAACCUAAAAAUUCUAUAACCUAAAUGCCUCUCUAGUCGCAACAUAUUUACCGGAGUCAAUUUUUGAGAUGGCCGUCAUAUUGAGCAAUGAACCUCAAUAUUUGGACUCAUAUCUAAAAAAUAUAAAUUUUGGCUAUUUUUUUAUAUUUUAAGAUUGUUUUGUCUUUAAUUUGGGCGGACCGGAUUCCGAUUUGCGUGCAAGUUGAGUUUCGAAAUCGAGUUGGGGUGCGCGGAUUAUGAUGGUACAGUUGGUACAAAUGGGUGGUAAAUUCGUGCCAAUUGUGUCAUUUAUUAGAUAUAUUUGGCACAAUUAUGCACAUUUGUGUCAAAUGUGACUGAAGUUGAAUGAUGGUACAACCGGUACAAAUAGGUAAAUUCGUGUCAAUUAUAUUAUUCAUUAGGUACACUUGGCAUAAUUAUGCUCAUUUGUGCCAGGAGAGGGGGGAGAGAGACAUGGGAGAAUCGCGUGUAUGGGUUGGGUUGGGUAGAGUAGGAUCCGCAAGAUCAAGAGUACGUAUUUUGGAUUGAAAUUGUAAAAAAUUGUCAUAAUUUGUGUUUUUUCAGAUGAGUGACCGAAAAUUGAAUUGCAUUGCUUAAUAUGACUAUAUGACUGUGUAUUCUCUAUUUACUAUUUAAAUUUCUUGGGUUUGUUUGAAAAAGGUAAAUUUAAAGCUGAAUGGUUAUAAGAUCAUGUUCACCCUUAACUUCAAACCGUGCUACCUUAUCUGAAAUAUUUAAUUUUUUCGUAUAAAGUAUUCCAUUUCCGAUGCUUCUCCUACGAUUUUUUUUCAAAUUAAAACAUAAACCGUUGAAAUAUUUUUGUGAAUAAUGGAAAGUCGCAAGUCUAUCUGAAUAAUUCAAUAAAGAUGUCCCCAACUAGGAAACUGACAUUCUUGUUAGUGAUAAGUCUGAAAAAAAAAGGGGGAAAAAGAAAAGAAGAAGUCUGAAAAAUUAGUCAGCAACAUGUGCCUUUAGUUCAUGAUAAGGUUAUAUACUGAAAAUGAUUGAACGCGUUGAAGCACUUUUGCUUACCAAUUUUUUAAUUAUAAAUUACACUCUUCUAAUCCUCAAUACAUAUUCAGAUUAGGAGUCUCUGUGUCGACUAAUUGUCUUCUUAAUGACCUCUAGCACCCAUUAUAAUAUAUUGGGUUUUGCUAAUAUGAAAAGGUCCAAACAUUUUAUAUUGCCUUAUCUAUAGUUAGUUUAUUUCUUAUUUACAACAAGCUCAUUAUCUUAAUGGUGUGUUAAUCACAUGAGCAUCCCAAAUUGGUGAACAAAUUUUAUUAAUGAUUAGUGUGAAAGUAUACCAUUUCUUGAAAAAAAAAAUUGCAACAAUGAUAUUUUACCUUAUCAAUUCGGAUAAGAAAAAAUAGGAUAUUGAGCAAGUAUAUCCAUAUUUAUUAUACUUUUUGUAUGACAAAUUCUUUCCAAAAAUCUUAAGAAUAAUAUAUAGAGAACCCAGUCAAUGUCUGAUUAAGACCCAAUAUAAUUCGUAAUUUUCCAAUAGCAUUUAUCGUUUAUAAUAAAUAUGGGAAAUGGAUAUGGACAUAUGGGGUGCCAUGUCAUGUCGAUAUGGAACCAAUGGCAAGAAAUGUUUCAUGUGCUUCUUGCUAGGGUAGGUGGUCAAUCCCAUGUUUAUUCCACCUCCCUCCUUCCUUUUUUUUUAUGAUUUAAUAUUUAUCUCUUACUUGAUUUCUAUAUUCAUUGUCAACAACUAUUUGAAAUCUCAUUUCUAAAGUAUUAUAUCUAUACUAUUCUCAUGACUAGUAGUAUAAAAUAAUCUUUAUAUAUACAUAUAUAUCAAUAUGUAAGUAAUAUAAAAUAUUUAUUUUUUAAAAAUUUAAGAUAAAAUUUAUCUUUUUCUGUAUAUAUACUUACCAUUCAAAUCCAAUACUUUUAUGUGUGUCACACAUAUAUAUUAUGUCUGUGACGAUAAAAAAUAUAAAGUACUAUACAAUUAGCACGAUUGUAAAAGGAUAGAGUAUGUUGUACAAUAUAAUUUAUAAUAAAGAAUCAAACCACCAAUACUUAGAAUUUUGUAAUAUUAUAUAAAUGAUCCUAUAUUAUUUGCAAUUAAAGAUUGUGGUGUGGAGGAUUAGCAAUAGGUACAUGUGUUUUAUUAGUUUAAUGUUAUACAUGUAAGGUGGGGAUGAAGACGGUGACUAGGAUGUGGAUGCCCUCCUAAUACUAUUGAACUUAUCUAUGCCCAAAGUAGGGCAAAAUCCCAAAGUCAAGAAUUCAUUUCAAACCAUACGAGAAGAUAAUGGCGAAUCUAAAGAUAAGGCAAAAAAAAAGUAAGGCAAAUAAACAUUUGGUCUAAAAUUAUCAAACUAGAGGGCCCCUCUAAACUCACCUCAUGUUUCUCUAAUCUAACCGUGCAAUCCCCAAUCACAAAUUGACACGUUCCACGUCGGUACCAAUCCACACAGCUGCGCCGCUGGAUGGCGUCCACGUGUCGCAUUCCCAGCGUGGGAAACAUGGGAUUUUCCAUGCACCCUAAGGUGAUGGGAUACCUUUUUUGCUCCAGAAGGAAAAGCAGCCUAAUCCACUCAUUUUACAUGCCCAUAUAUAUGUUUGAUUUAAUUGGUCCAAGAAAUUCAUGUUGUUCAAGUAUUUGAGAAGACUAUAUAUAUCUACCCACUGCAGAAAAGAGUUUCUUGAGAUCCCUUUAAUCUGUUUCUUGAUAAUUUUUUCUUGAUUUGAUUUUAUUUUUGUGUAAUCUGUCGAAGAUGGAAGGAGGGAAAAGCCAUCAUCAUCAUAUGUUUCAAGAUUCAUGGUUUCAAUAUAAAGGUAACAACUUGAAGAAUGAAGAAAGAUUUGAAUCAUUAUCAGCUACUUCAUCUUCAUCUAUUGGAGAAGAUUCAGAUGCUUCAAAUGGAUCAUCCAUAACUUCAUCUGAUACAGUAGAUGAUGUGUCAUCAUCUUCUUCAUCGUCAUCGUUGAACUCCAGCUGCAGCGGAGCUCUAUAUGAUCUUUCAGAGAUCAUGGACCAAUUGCCCAUCAAGUAAGUGAAACUUCGAUUUUUUUUUUGUUUUUUGGAUCUUAUAUUUUAUGUGGAGACUAAAUGAGAUGAAAUGAUUUGGUGUGUGCAGAAGAGGGCUUUCCCAGUUUUACAAAGGGAAAUCAGAGUCGUUCACAUCACUUUCAAGGGUGGCAAGCAUUGAAGAUCUGAUGAAGAAAGCAGCAACUCCAUAUAGAAGAAAUUUGAAGGCUUCCAAGAGCUGUGGAACUGGUUUGCAUAGCUACAAGCAGUAUACUCUACCUAAGGCCACCAUAUCAAAGAAGGCUUCAAGGGGUGUUUCUCUCUCAUCAUUUCCAACUAAGAGAGGGGGUGUUAUGAACACCAAGCCCCCUCUCACCCCUCUUCACCAGGAUUUGGAAUGUUGAAGAAAAAGUUUUACAUAACAUCCACACACACACAUGAGAGAGAGAGAAAGAGUUGUAUAUAAGCAAUUUUGUGAUCAUAUUCUAUUUUCUUUCAUUGUUCAUAGGCACAA
This 8825-nucleotide long non-coding RNA is filed under the name Salvia miltiorrhiza (redroot sage). RNAcentral's name for it is "long non-coding RNA (SMIL_LNC005418)". The record is from RNAcentral. Lineage: Eukaryota; Viridiplantae; Streptophyta; Magnoliopsida; Lamiales; Lamiaceae.